UGUCAGGGGACCCUCGCCCUGUGCCACCGGUAGGGGAUACUCCCGCAGCUGCCUACAAGGAGCUUUGCAGGAGGACCACAGACUCCGCCUGCACAACUGGGCGGAAGUUGCCAGGGGCCCGGCUCCACCCACCUGCAGAGGGCACAGCCUGCCAAGGGCGCCCAGGGCCACGCCCCUGUGCCCAGCUCCCCCUCUGCAGCUCCGCCAGCGCCCCGGGUCCAGGUCCAGGUCCGCACAGGGCGGGCCUCAGCCUCCAGGGCUGCUGCACACUUGGGCCCUUGGGUGGUGACCGUGGCCCUCCCCACCGCCAGCAGCUGCCCACCCUGCUUUGUUUGGAGGGGGAUGCAGGAGCCAGAGAAAAGACCCGUGGCAACGGCAAAAACCAUAUCAAGACCACCCAAGCCGUGGCUGGACGCCAGGCCCUGGACCCGCCCCCCUCCUCCCGCCGUGGCAGUUUCUGCUGAAAUUCUCACUUUCCCCCACUUUGCAGGUGAAAUUAAACCCAAGCCUUUA
Molecule: long non-coding RNA, 513 nt
Organism: Marmota flaviventris (yellow-bellied marmot)
Lineage: Eukaryota; Metazoa; Chordata; Mammalia; Rodentia; Sciuridae
Source: RefSeq, a predicted model, not a curated record